GGUCAAGCUAAUUAGGGCUAAUGGUGGAUACCAAGGCACACAGAG
RNAcentral lists this ribosomal RNA (45 nucleotides) under Kalymmatonema desertorum WJT9-NPBG6B. Its description in RNAcentral is "partial 23S ribosomal RNA". Lineage: Bacteria; Bacillati; Cyanobacteriota; Cyanophyceae; Nostocales; Scytonemataceae. The record is from RNAcentral.